Molecule: long non-coding RNA, 1260 nt
Filed under: Citrus x clementina
Lineage: Eukaryota; Viridiplantae; Streptophyta; Magnoliopsida; Sapindales; Rutaceae
Description: Citrus clementina (C. clementina) long non-coding RNA (CCLE_LNC001391)
Source: RNAcentral
CGAAUCUUUAAUAAAACGACGCCGUUUUGUUAAUUUUUUGGGUCGUUUCAAUUUUUUUUUGAAACAACGUCGUUUUGCUUGAGCAUUCUAGCUCUGUAUCAAACUCAUCUUUCUCUUGUAAUAAAGAAACAGAAAAAACUCAUCUUUCUCUUUCGAUUUUUCACUUCACCACAUAACCCAACUACAUAACCCCAACUGCAAAAUCCCUCAAGCUGUUAUCUUCCUUCUGCAUAAACGAUCUUUCUCUUUCAGUCUUGUUAUGCCAAAACACUAGAAAGAAAUAUCAUGUACCUGCAGAAUUGAAUAAAUAAUUGAACAAGGGAGGCUGGCAGAUUUAGUUAAAGCGUGAUGUCCAAAGUGACAGUUCCACAUAUGGCAAACUUCCCAAAGGAUUGCUAGUUCCAUCCCAUUAUAAUUUGAAAACAAUGAUUAUGUAGUUGAAAACAGAUUUAGUUUUUAUAUAAUAUGUUGAGUCGAAAAUUGCAAUUUAUUACUUACAAUUACUAAUCUCUGUCACUGGUGGCAGUGGUGAUGGUAGUGGCGGUGGUUGGCUGUCGGUGGUGGUUGUUUCAGUGGCUGCGUACGCAUGGAUUCUGGAUUCUGGAUGGUGGAUUGAGGACUUUGAAUGGCUGUGCUGCACUUAAUCGAUAAAGAAAAGGGGCUUGGCAAAACGGUGUGUUUCAUUUUCGGGGUCUGACCUGGGAUUUGACCCGAGACAAACAUCAUUUUCCUUAUUUCCAUGGUCAUCUUAUUUUCUAAAAUAACUAAAUGGAAUCUUACAGAAUUAGAGUGCUUGACUUCUUCAUACAGUGCUUGACUUCUUUUUACAGAAUUAUAAAGUGAAAAAAGAAAUUAAGAAAUUAAAUACUUUUCAUGCGAGUGGAGAAGAUUGGGUAGCGAUUACAUUAAAUAAAUAAUAAUAAUUUAAAAGUACAGCACUUUAAUAAUCUGAUUCCCAAUCAUAUCGGUAUAAAAAAUUCUGUAGAUUUAUUGAAUAACUAUUGAUUUUACUUUUGUAAUUUCUUUCUAAAAGUAAGGUAAACAUUUUUAUUUUCUUUGCAUUCGAGCUUUCUUUCUUUUGCGCUGGCCUUCACACUCUUGACCGUAUUUCAUGGGGCACAUUCAAUCUCAAUCUUCUGCAAGUUUGUGGCAGUUUUUUUAAUUACGAACUUUUGUAGGAUUUUAUGGAGAUGAUACUUUUAUAUACAUUUUUCUUUUCUUUUUUUCUUCCGUGAACAAAUUAAAAAUUUAUUUUUUGUC